GAAGUAAAAGUCGUAACAAGGUCUCCGUUGGUGAACCAGCGGAGGGAUCAUUAUAGAGUAUAAAAACUCCUAAACCCCUGUGAACAUACCUAUUGUUGCCUUGGGCCGCCUCCGGGGGACCCGCGAAGGCCCCCUAAACUCUUGUUUUACUUUGCAACUCUGAAUCUAAAAACAAAUAAGUUAA
This 184-nucleotide unclassified non-coding RNA is filed under the name Clypeosphaeria mamillana. RNAcentral's name for it is "ITS1". The stretch from base 1 to 53 matches the Rfam family "Eukaryotic small subunit ribosomal RNA", at positions 1779 to 1831 of the family's 1831-position model. The record is from RNAcentral. Lineage: Eukaryota; Fungi; Ascomycota; Sordariomycetes; Xylariales; Xylariaceae.